RNAcentral lists this microRNA (22 nucleotides) under Gekko japonicus. RNAcentral's name for it is "Gja-Mir-15-P1a_5p (mature (guide))". Lineage: Eukaryota; Metazoa; Chordata; Lepidosauria; Squamata; Gekkonidae. The record is from RNAcentral.
UAGCAGCACAUUAUGGUUUGUG